AGGACCUUCUUAAUGUCAACUAGAAGGCCUGGACUGGAAAUGUCCCUCGAGCCUUGUGAUACAGAUUCCAGAGGUACUUCACCAAAGCAUCAGCCUUCCCUCAGAGGCUCAGCAGCGGCCACCAACAUACACACAGCCAAGAAUGGGGGCAGUCACCUCGAGCACAGUCUUUCUUUAAUGUUAACAGUAUCCUUGGUUAUGUCUAAUGUCCUGUCUUUGUGCAAGUUAUUUUUUAUUAUUAUUAUUAUUUGUUCUUGACUGUUAACUAUAAAAUAUGACAAAUAAAGUGUCUUUAAUAGAUGGUGUCCUUCCUUGUGUUUGGGACUUGGGGCGAUGCAAAUGGCGGUUACGUUUCACUUUUAAUAGCAAACCUGACAUGUGGUAAACCAAAUUGAUUAACAUCUGGUCAUUAGGCGCAGUUGGAUUACCCAAGGUAAUUUAAAAAUAAACAUUUGGCUGCACUGGGUCCUUAUUUAGAGAAGUCUGUGGGCUUCUCUUGUGGAACGCAGGCUCUAGAGCACGUGGGCUCAGUAGCUGUGGGGCGCCAGCUUAGUUUCACUGUGGUAUGUGGGAUUUCAAUUCCCCGACCAGUCAAACCUCCAUCCCCUGCAUUGGAAGGCAGAUUCUUCACCACUGAACCACCAGAGAAGUCCCUACCCAAGGUAAUUUUUUUUUUUAUCAUAGAGUAGACAUUUCUGGCUUCUUCCCCUGCAUAUCCCACUAGUCUUCCAUUAUGAAGCAACCAAGCAUUUUGAAUGGGAUUGAUCCAACUCCCCGACCCUCAGCUUCAAGUGUAGGCCUUGGUUGGCCCAAGCCUUUCAGUGGAAUCCCAUGCCCCCAUGCCACAGUGAUUGACUUAGUGAGCGCAUGGCCUAAGUGGAUACAAUUAGAAUAAAGCUUAAAUGUUGGUAGGAGACUUGUGGGAGGAGAGAGUUCUGGAGAGCAGGGUUGAGGUAUGAGGUCUUGAACUGCUUUAGUUUUGCUGAACUGACACAGAGAGGGCAAAACUGAGAGAAUCAUGGAAAAAUGGAGCUGGUACUCUGAUCAGACCAUACCUGAAGUCUUUAGAUUUUACUUUUAGGCCAGUUUGAGUAAUUAUUUCUCUUUUUGCAGGUGAAAGCAGCCUCAUCUAUACAGCUUGUGUUUACUCUUGUGUUGUCAAGGCUAACUGGUAAACAGAAUAAAAGAAACACACUCAUGUGAUCUAUUAAUGCCCACAGUAAAAACAUCUGUUAUCAAUCAGUGAGUUUUGACUGACCGCUGUAACUUGUCAAACUACCAUACAAUUGCGCUUAUUUUACAUACUAGCAAGGUAAUGCUCAAAAUCCUUUAAGCUAGGCUUCAACAGUACAUGAACAGAGAACUUCCAGAUGUUCAAGCU
This 1381-nucleotide long non-coding RNA is filed under the name Capra hircus (goat). RNAcentral's name for it is "lncRNA (ENSCHIG00010009159.1)". Lineage: Eukaryota; Metazoa; Chordata; Mammalia; Artiodactyla; Bovidae. The record is from RNAcentral.